This 533-nucleotide unclassified non-coding RNA is filed under the name Hevea brasiliensis (rubber tree). The record is from RNAcentral. Lineage: Eukaryota; Viridiplantae; Streptophyta; Magnoliopsida; Malpighiales; Euphorbiaceae.
UAUUUUUUUGUUACAUAAUUGUAACUUCAUUGGUUCUUCCGGUAGUUAUUUGAUCUUCAUAUAAAACAAGAUAUUCAACUCAAAUUUCUUAACAUAUUUUUUUGUUUCAGCAAUCCCUGCAUAAUAUAUAUUUCAUAGAAACUUCAGUUAGUUUCAAGCUAUAACUUCAUAUAAUUAUCAGUAUUUCGACAGAGCAAUAGUUUCUAAAAGUAAAAAGACAGUGGAUUGUUUCCCUUCCUGAUCUUCUCUGUAGAACAUUUUAUUGUAGAUUACCUCAUGUUAAACAGAUUAAAAGGCUACUAACCAUGUGAAACAAGCAACCUCAUUUCCUGCUAGAAAUCCUUCACACUAUUAUCUCCUUUAUUUCUAAUAUUAAAUAUCAAAGAACAUUAUCGUUGUAAACAUGAUUUUGACCGGCAAUUACCUAAUUUUAAAUGACAUACAUCUCAAUUGCCGUAGGAUUGAACUCCUCAUCAAGUACCCUAAAAUGAAGAUGAAGAGAAUUUGAAGGAAAUACAUAUAUAUGCACAAAG